This 252-nucleotide ribosomal RNA is filed under the name uncultured bacterium. RNAcentral's name for it is "partial 16S ribosomal RNA". It matches the Rfam family "Bacterial small subunit ribosomal RNA", at positions 524 to 775 of the family's 1533-position model. The record is from RNAcentral.
UACGAAGGGGGCUAGCGUUGCUCGGAUUGACUGGGCGUAAAGGGCGCGUAGGCGGAUAGUACAGUCAGGCGUGAAAUUCCUGGGCUCAACCUGGGGGCUGCGUUUGAUACGUAUUGUCUGGAGUUCGGAAGAGGGUCGUGGAAUUCCCAGUGUAGAGGUGAAAUUCGUAGAUAUUGGGAAGAACACCGGUGGCGAAGGCGGCGAGCUGGUCCAUUACUGACGCUGAGGCGCGACAGCGUGGGGAGCAACAGG